Long non-coding RNA from Corythoichthys intestinalis (scribbled pipefish), 1727 nucleotides. RefSeq lists it as uncharacterized. Lineage: Eukaryota; Metazoa; Chordata; Actinopteri; Syngnathiformes; Syngnathidae. The record is from RefSeq and is a predicted model, not a curated record. The transcript is spliced from 3 exons.
UUAUUACUCCCCGAUUUGGCCCUAAUCCUCUGUGGUACUUUUUGCGUCAAUGUAAAAACUUUUUUUUUUGCCUCGACGUGAAAAAAAUGUUUUUUGCUUCGAUGUAAUUUUUUUGUUGUUGCUUUGACCUCUUUUUUUUACGUUCAUGUUUUUUUUCCCCCACAUUUGUCACAUUAAAGGGCAACUGAAGACCUUUCCGGAUUUUGGACGAGUUCGUCAAAACAACCAUGACAUUAUCAACACGUAAUGGUAAGGAUCAUUUGCGUUUUUUUAGUUUUUUUGCACUCCGUUAAUGGUCCCUUCGCAAACCCGGAAGUGUGACGUAGAUUCCUGACGCAACAGAGAAGACUAUCCACGGCUAGCAUAGCAGCACAUCGAUGUCAGUGAUAUUUCUACCAAAGGUAACCAUUCAGGAUCGCUCUUACGUGACGCUACCGAUGGCAAAGGCUCCCAGGAAAAAUGAACUACAAUUAAUCCCUACAUGUUUGAACCUGAGGCGUCAGAUGACGACGAUAUGCUUGACACAGCAGAUGUCGUCAUGACGCCAAUUAACAGCUCGACACUUCACGAACAGGAGAGUGUGUGGUUGUUAACCUUUACCUAAAGAAACGAUGUGUCCGAAAUCCAAGCCAGAACGCGAACGCAGCGCAACAGCGCCAGUUUGAGAACUUGAAUCCUUACAAUGGUGUCCUCAUCAUCUGCGCAACCUGCUGGUGCAGGUACAGGCACACAGGAGGUCUUGAGAAGGGUGUAUCUUCAGAGACUUCUUGGCAAAGUUUCACAGGCCAUACAAAGACUGCCGCUUGAUGUGGACUAGUUACAGUUUGUGGUCAACCAGGAGAUGGUUCUAUUAAGAACACUGUCAAGCCAAAUUGAGAUGCCACACGAUAAAAUCAGUGCUUUGACUAAGUUGUCAACAUUGGUUAUUAGGAUUAACAACACAAGUUUAACUCACCAGGUUCACCAGCUAUAUGGAGAGACUGGACGCCCAAAACUUGAUAUUUCUAUUCAAGACCUUAAAAACUUUGUAGAUAUGUCCAUGCCAGUGCCGUGGAUUGCAAAAUUUCUUGGGGUUUCUGAGAGAACAGUGAGACGGCAGAUGCAUGACAAAGGGGUUUGCGUCAAGUUGUCCUACAGUCACCUAACCAAUGAACAACUUGACAGUUUGGUGAGGUCAGUAAAGGCGAGGACACCGCAUGUGGGAUACAGAAUUAUGAAAGGAAUACUGCAAGCUAUGGGACACAGAGUUUAGUGGCAAAGAAUAGCUUCAUCCAUGCAUCGUGUUGACUCUGUCGGUGUAUUAUCAAGAAUGACAAGCAUGGCGUGUGUUGCAAGGAGAACAUAUUCUGUUCCAGGUCCUCUGCACUUAAUGCAUAUUGAUACUAACCAUAAGCUCAUCAGGUUGGUCAUUCAGUAUUUACAUGCACAUCAGAUGAUGCAAUUUUUCUGGUCGAUAUACUAAUAUUCAUAUUAUUUGUAUGAAAAAUGGGAAAACAAUUUCCUUAUAUUCAUGCUUGUGAACAUCUUUCAAGAAUGGCUCCAUUGCCAAUUUACAUCCAAUUAAUUUUCCAUAUCAUAGUACCAAUAAACCUCUUCACCUGUGGAGUGCUUCAGUUUUUAAAACAUUCUAUAACUUUUACAUUGUUUUGUUGCCUGUAUCCCACUUUUGUGAGCAUUUCACUGCUGACAGAUUGAUAAAAAUAUUUCACCAUUUCUGCAUCCCAAUU